GAACGCUGGCGGCAUGCUUUACACAUGCAAGUCGGACGGCAGCACAGAGAAGCUUGCUUCUUGGGUGGCGAGUGGCGAACGGGUGAGUAACGCGUAGGUAACCUGCCUGGUAGCGGGGGAUAACUAUUGGAAACGAUAGCUAAUACCGCAUAACAGUAGAUGUUGCAUGACAUUUGCUUAAAAGGUGCAAUUGCAUCACUACCAGAUGGACCUGCGUUGUAUUAGCUAGUUGGUGGGGUAACGGCUCACCAAGGCGACGAUACAUAGCCGACCUGAGAGGGUGAUCGGCCACACUGGGACUGAGACACGGCCCAGACUCCUACGGGAGGCAGCAGUGGGGAAUUUUGGACAAUGGGCGCAAGCCUGAUCCAGCCAUGCCGCGUGUCUGAAGAAGGCCUUCGGGUUGUAAAGGACUUUUGUCAGGGAAGAAAAGGACAGGGUUAAUACCUCUGUUUGAUGAC
Molecule: ribosomal RNA, 461 nt
Filed under: Streptococcus sp. oral taxon E25
Lineage: Bacteria; Bacillati; Bacillota; Bacilli; Lactobacillales; Streptococcaceae
Description: bacterial SSU rRNA
Rfam family: Bacterial small subunit ribosomal RNA
Source: RNAcentral